Molecule: ribosomal RNA, 400 nt
Filed under: phytoplankton environmental sample
Lineage: Eukaryota
Description: partial small subunit ribosomal RNA
Rfam family: Eukaryotic small subunit ribosomal RNA
Source: RNAcentral
AGCUCCAAUAGCGUAUAUUUAAGUUGUUGCAGUUAAAAAGCUCGUAGUUGAAUUUCGGGCGGGGUUGGCCGGUCCGCCUUUGAGGUGUGCACUGGCCGGCGCCGUCUUCCUGCCGGUUAGGUUCUCCCGGCCUUUAUUGGCUGGGGUGCUGCGCCGGCGCGGUUACUUUGAAAAAAUUAGAGUGUUCAAAGCGGGCUUACGCUUGAAUAUAUUAGCAUGGAAUAACACGAUAGGACAGAGCGUCUAUUUUGUUGGUUUCGGAUGAUCUGUAAUGAUUAAGAGGAACAGUUGGGGGCAUUCGUAUUUCAUUGUCAGAGGUGAAAUUCUUGGAUUUAUGAAAGACGAACUUCUGCGAAAGCAUUUGCCAAGGAUGUUUUCAUUAAUCAAGAACGAAAGUACG